Molecule: long non-coding RNA, 311 nt
Filed under: Oncorhynchus mykiss (rainbow trout)
Lineage: Eukaryota; Metazoa; Chordata; Actinopteri; Salmoniformes; Salmonidae
Description: lncRNA (ENSOMYG00000070866.1)
Source: RNAcentral
AUGAAGAAUCCGAGGAGGAGGCCCCACCCCCAAAGAAGGCUGAAGGUCACGGCUGCCAAGGAGGAGUCUGACGACGAUGAUGAUGAGGACUCUGAGGAAGAGGAGAUGGAUACCACCCCGGCACCCGCAGCAAAGAAAGCAGGCAUGGUCAAGGCUAAGGAGGAGUCUGACGAUGAUGAGGCCCCAGCGACUCCUGCAAAAGAGGAAGGCCGACAGCAAGAAAGCCAAGUCCGAAAGCGAUGGUAAGUUAUGGUUCAGCCCUUUCAACACCUGCUCCCACACUGAACCAUAAUACGCAUGAUGAACAAGGG